UGUACAGUAUGUAGUACUUUAGAGAGUGAAGGAAUGGGGGGUAUAUAUUUACUUUCUACUAAGGAUGUUGGCCGAUAUUAUUGUCCCGACAUCAGCUUAAUUGUGUAAUAUUUGUAAGAAUCGUUAGCUGGUUUUUCCUCCGAUAACAAACACCUGGUAACGCAUAGCCUGGGUUUCACCAAAUGAUGUGUGCUCUAAAAAUAGUUUUGGGGGAAAACGGCUGUAUAUGAAGGUAAAAGCCACUAGAUGGCAGUAUUCUAGCUCAUUUUAUUAAUCUCUAUUAAUAAUCAGGGGAUCGUUUGCAGAAUGCUUUUUACAGAUAAACAAAUAAAUAUUAAAAAAAUCUAUUUUGAUUUGAUAUUAAAAAAUCAAAUUUAAAUUCUUUUCAAGGGAGUUCCGUCCCUUCCAAUCACAGCAGUCAUCAGUUGAGGGCGGGGUCACGCCUUGGGAUGACCUCCACUAGGGCACAUAUAGAGAUAAGCACCUAUUUUAUGUGACUCGUACCAGGAAGCCGUUGGGGAUGGAGCUAUGCCGUCAUGUGGAGCAGUUCGGGUCAAUGGCACUAAUGGGACCUUGCUGCAGUCCACGACCCAGAUGUUUUUUUAAAUAGUUCUUCCUGUAGAUGAAUGUCGUGGAAGAAGACAUUCUGAUUCCCUAAACUUGAUCAGAAUACGAGGCUGGGACCAGAGAGGCAGUAGUGAAUGUGUACACCCUGAAGCCUGAAGCUUUUGCACAGUACUGCAUAUACCUGACUCUCCUCCCCUGCGAUGUGUACUGUAUAUUAAAUGAACCCAGGAUUUCCAGCCACCGAGGAUAUUUGAGUUCAGAUCAACUCUUCAAAGAAAACGACACUGUAGCCGAGAUUCAAAUAAAAUCUUUGGCCAAACAAAAAACCUGUUUGGGUUCAUGGACAAAUGUCUCUGAUUCAGGUGAGGACGUCAACAGCUGAGGCUGAAGUUUAAAGAUCAGUCAGAGCCCACAGAACUCUGCAACCCCCCCGCCCCCACUACAGUCCAGGACUCCUGUGGGGGAGGCAGUCUUAACGGAUGAGGACAACCGCUGCUGCACAUUAGGGCUGACAGCUAGAUACUUCAAUAAUCAUUUAUUCAAUAUUACACCUACAUUAUAAAUGAUCACUGUCUCUGACCUCAAACAUCCACCAGCAGGUGUCACCUCCCAGUAUCAGAGCUGGACACAAGGCCCACGGUGCUUGUUAAGGAAUGCUAAGUGUGUGUGUGUGUGUGUGUGUGUCUUCUAAACAUUCAGUUCACAAACAGUUAGAGAAUGAUGUCAAUGAUGAUUUAUAAAGAAUAGAUAUUUUUAGAAUAGAUUAAUGGACUAAACCUAUGAAAUGGACCUUGUUUUGUUUUGGUGGUAGAUGCGACCAGGCUUUACUCAGUUAGCUUCUGUUUUUAUUAUUCCUAUCAUGUGCAUGGUUCCCUGGGGCUUUUUUUGUGUUUUUGUUUGUUUUGCACCAUAUAGAAUUGUUUUCAUAAAAUCAUGUUUAGUGUCACAUGACACAUCUUCAAAGUGUAUGGAGAUUUUGCACAGAUCCUCAUGCAGAACACACACAGUCAUUCUUCAUUACCUUGACCCACAGCCUUAACUGUUACACAUUUUUGGUAAAAAAAAAAGUUAUGCAGAUGACUGCUGUCUCGCAGCUUAGAAGAAAUGUGGGACAGAAUAAAUUAUUUUUAAAAGUUGCUUCUCUCCUAUUAUCUCGUUUCAUCAACCCGAGUGGUUCUCAAACUAUGGCACGCAUAUACCAAUGCUGGUGGUGCUCCCUCUAGUGUUUGAUCAGAAAUCCUUUUUUUAAAAACUGUGCUGGCAAAUUUACCUGGACUCCGAUCAAACAUGUAAUUUCCAGUUGUGAUUUUCAGAGACUCUCUCUCGGCUGUUUUUAGUCUAGUACCGUCCUCAGCUCCACUGACGAGAAGGUGAGAAAUGAGAGGAUCUAAUGUUUGCCCCACUGGUGACUAUUCCUCUCUGUAUUAUGUUCUCCUAAUGCUGCUGCUGUCCAGCAUUAUUAAUGAGUCCCUGCUUUCUUUUUAUCCCUUCACAAGAUACAGUUGAUGGGCUCCGAGCCCCAGACCACGUGUUAUAUGAAGAAGUUCUCCAAUAUUUAAUUACUGCUGACCUGCUGUCUUUCCUGCCAUUGACCUGGGAGCAGCUGGGAGGUAAACUGAUAUAUCUGUGUAGGUAGUGAAGGGGAGUAGGGUGUGGGGGUGGCGGUGGGGGGUUACAUGUAGUAAAUUGAAAUAUGUGAAAAAGUUUACAAACCAUAUUUUUUAGAAAAGUUAGAUCCCAUUUAUUUGUUUGUUUAAUUUGCUGUCUUUUUACAAUUUAUUUGCAAAAUUAGACUAAACAGUAUUUCUACAUUUCCACAUUAUAAGAAUUGGGGUUAAAAAUAAUUGAGUAUUUGACUAAAUUUAAAUUUUUCACAUCACUUCAUUUAAAAGGCUAAUUUAAUUUCACAUAUAGACUUGGUUUGGUCAGUUAAAAUGAUAAAAAACCUGAAUUACUACUCUGUUGAUAAUAAAAGCGAAUACAUUUAUGCUCAGAGACGCGCAUGGAUUAUAUUAUGCAUUGUUUCGGUCGGGGCUUUAUGCUAUUUUAAGCCAUUACACGCCAGUGAUUUUAUUCUGAUGGGAAUAAAAUAAUUGUUUGCUGUUUUUCAUGUAGCGAGGUAAAAGGAGUCAAAUGUUCUGCGGGGGAUUAACACGGUGGGUCGUUUCUCUCCUGGGCUCCGUCUCCUGAGUCGGUGACACUCACCAAGGAGAGGCUUCUGUGCGAGAAAACUCAACAGAGCCUGAGCGUUUGCAAAAUGCAGAUGUAGGACAGAUCCUGCAGAUACCACAGCGGGGCACUUCACCUACGGUAGUUAUUUCUGCCUAAGAAGAUCAGUAACGUCGGUGUUUAAGCCUGAGCAGGAUGCUGACAGCAGCCGUUGAACCUGCACUAGCUUUACUGUGAUAUGUCAAACACACAGCUCUGUUUAAGGGGCUCAGCUGGAAAUCUGUCAGAGCAUUGGCUUCUGGGUAAUUUCCCUGAUUAGACAAGACACUGUAAAUGUAUUGAGCGUGUGCAAUUGCUCCAGGUGUUUAUGAAGCAAUGAUAGACUUUAGCAGGAGCGAGGCUGCCCCCCAGGAUCACUCUAAUAUAAUGGUGAACAUUUACCUCUUGGUUUGGCUUGUCAUCAAUGUGUAACAUAUGCAGUUUGUUUGUUUUUUUCUCUUCCUUGUCAAAGUAAAGAUCUUAGCAUUUUCCUGUGUUGUUGUGGCGCAGGCUGUUAGCUCACUCGACCCCUAGAGCCUGGUAAUGAUAAGAGUUUGUGAGAGAUAACGUGAGGAUAUGUGUAGGAGGAACACAGCCAGAGCAACAUCUUACUGUGGCAGCCUGCUGUUUAAAAGGUUGCUGACUGUUUACUGUGUUUGUACACUUUGUACAUCAGCAGAUCCACCCUCAAUUAACUGGACCUUGAUGUAAACAACAACAUGCAGUUCUGUGGUACAAAGUGCUAGUCUGGGGGCUUUAUGUCAACUUACAAAGUUCUCUUCUCGCCAACAUGUGUAACUUAAAAAUAUAAUGCUCAGAAAGUGAAUAAAAAAACACAAGGUGAAAAUGACAAUAAAAAUAAGGAAACUAAAAGAACAACCCAAGCAGAAUUGUCUGCAGCAGGCUUUAGUAUAAGUCCAUGUGCUAAAAAUACAAGGGUCAAAAGUUCUGUUAUGAUCACUGAAACAUGUUAAGACAGGCCUCUCAGGCGCCUGCAACGGCUUUGACAAGUUUUGUCAUCAUGUCUUUGACAAGUACUGCGCUUUGAUACGUUUGAUUUGAAAGAACAUUUGAAAAGAACUGCAUCUCGAUUCCUAAGAUGGGACAAAGAAGGACGAACGAAGGAAUUUGGGAAUUUAGCAAACCUUAGUUAAAUAGUGGGUAUGUCGAAAAAUAAGAUGAUUUUUAUUUAUUUUCAUAAAGACAUGUUUUACAUUUGUCUUUAUGAAAAUACUUUUAAGUGACUCAACCUAAGAAAUAAAAAAUAAAAAUCCCAUAAUUGUAUAACCCCUAGAGUAGAACCCAUACUGCUUCUGUGGCUAAAUAAAAAAAAACACGUUAUGAGAAAACACAGAUUUUAUUAUCUGUAGGGUGUAGGGUAAAUUACUGUAGCUUUAAAAACUAAAAUAGCCAAAUAAAUCAUCUGUGCAAAAUAGUUUUCUCUGUGCUGCGCAAGAGCAUAUUCUUAGAGUCCAUUAGACGUGCAACUAUCGAGCUGAAGAGACUGCAGCUAAACCUGAAGCUGAACUGAUAUGUCCAAACAGGAGCAAACUGGAUGAAGUGCUUGCGCUGUAAUUUCUUGAACCACAUAAUUAAGAACUGUACAGUAGUGUUAAUGUUGUCGACGUCAUCAUCUUUUUUUUGUCAAAUACGUCAUUAACGACCACUUUUCUUAAAACGAAAACUUGAACGUGAACUAUAUAGGAAGUUAUGGCGGUUCAAACGAGAGUGACGGACACUUAAGUCAACUCAUAAAAAGGACAAGAAAUCAGAUUGACAGGGACAAGGACCAAUCAGCGUUAAACAUUUCAUAAGGCCCGCCAAGACAAAAGCCAAUCACAGGUAUGUUUAUUGGCCAGAAGGCGGGAGAUGUAAACGGAUAUUCAAUCACAGCAAAUGUUUUUCCGGCAAUAGAAGACUUUUGGUCAAUAUAUUAAAUGUGGUCACAAAGUCGUGACCAAAACAUGUCGGAUACAUUUAUGGACGCAUUUGACUUUGACGUCAGCGAAAACAGAAAUGUAAACCGUGCGCAGCGACUGUUGGAGAAAAGAACAAACUAACUAAGGCAGACAUACCAUCCUAGGAUUUACACCAAGAGUUUGGAUCUGUGAUGGCACCAAGCAUUCUCUGGGAAACGAGGAGGACGCAGCACAGCACUCAAGUCCACUCCUACCACACAACUCCAGCGGGAAGAGAUGCUGUACACGGAUACUGCGCGGAGCAGUUCUACAGGGACCGACAGCCGCCAUCGUGAGGUACUGGAUUUUAGGAGGAAGGUGGAGGAACCGGAGAAGCCCAGUCAACCGUGUGGAGAUCAUGUGACCGACACCACCAGUCAUGAGCGUCCUGUCCUUCUCUGCGUCAUCUUUACCUUUGGCACCAGACCACAGCAGAGAACAGGAGCUAGCAGAGCUAACGUGUCAUUAGCUUGGAAGCAUCCAGCUGAGCAUGCCCAGUUCAAAGAGGAUAACAACAGGUAAGCUGCUAACGCUAACGCUAACCCGAACAUUGCAAAUUGUGUUGAGCAACAUGAUCAGUCAGCCAAAAUGAGAGCUGCUUUUUUUAAAUUAUUCUUAUUUGUACCAAAAUGCUUCCAGAAGUUUAGACUUAGACUGAUCUUUGUUAGACUUGUUCCCCAUUUUCUCGUGGCUGGUCACAUGACUGAACGUUAAAGAGCAACAAUAGAACAGAACAGAAAUUGAGUGACCUGCCGAAACAGACAAAAUAAACUGCCAAGUCCACGAGCCUAACAACCAGAGGCUAGAGAACUCUGAAGGUCUAAACACACACACACACACACACACACACACAGCCUUAAAUGACAUUAAUGUGGAGUUUUGUGCUGCUGUGAUUUUUCUGGAAAUGUGAAGUCUCUGUGUGUGGCUGUGUUGACAUUGUUGAUUCUGAGAAGGCUUCACACUGGGCUCGGGGGGGGGAGGUUCUGUGGCAACAGCUGAAUCCUGGCACCAGUGGGAUGGCAGAAGUGAUGGAGAGCCACAUUUAGCAGAUCUUUUGUUAAAGUGUGCGUUUUAGUCCUCAUGUCUGCGUGUGUGUGUGGGUGUGUGUGUGUGUGUGUGUGUGUGCGCGCGCGCUCAGAGGAAGGAACUGUGAGGUGAAGCAGUGACACGGUUGGAUGUGUCACUGCUCUGUGGACGUUUAAGUUAAUGCACAGUAGAUGGAACUGAUGUAGUUUGAGGUGUAAGUAAAUACAGAUCCUCUGAUGCUGUGUCUGUGCUGCAGGUGUCUGAUCCUCCAUCAGUGUGUGCUCUUGUGUUUGGUGAAAGUUGACCCUAAUUUAACGCCCUACGAUGCUCUGAUCAUCUUCUCAGGCCUCUGUCACGCUGGCGGCGGCCACCCGCUGUCUCUGUUUCUGGGGACGGACAGUUCCUCUCCAGCCCAUACAUUAACCCAAAUAUUGAAAUAAUUCACAUCAUUUUUGUUCCGACUCUAAUAACCUUUAGAAAUAAUGUCUUUUCCCCCGGCUGUGAGGAAACUGCCAAGAAUUUUAUACUUUUCCCUGGUUCACUGUUCCGAGCCCCGACGUACAGAACAUUAAGCCUUCACAUUACACAUCUGAGACCGGGGGUCUUCCCUGGGACCCCAGGUUUUCCACAACAAUCUCUCAUCUAUUAAUCACCCUUGUUUUAAUUAGGUCCAAACUGGGAGGUAGAGAAAAGGGUGAGUUAAAGUCUGAGCACGUUCCCCGACCUUUACGGUCCUGGACGGAGAACCGACUCUUUGAUGGUGGGAAACUGAAGUGGGUGGGUGGGUGAAGAGUGGGUGAGAUCUCCUCACUGUUCAGUUCUUUGUGGACCGGUCAGGUCCCUCAGGUCCAGCACUAAGGUUUUACUGUUGGUUUGUUUACAUGUGGUCGGUGUUGUGUACUGCAUCUGAAGAGUAUGAAUAGACAGGCAGACACCCCCCCCCCCCUCACCAUCCUCCUCCUCCCCCCGUGAUAAACUGCUCUGUGAGCUCCGGAGAGUCAUUACCAUAAUAUUCAUGUGAUCCACUCAGGUCAAUGGUAUGCUAACGAUGCUAACGUCCUGCUCCUGCUCGGGGCAGAAGUCUGAAGAAGCGUAUCGAUUGUUGGUGGAAUAUUUAAUCUGAUCCAUAUCUUUAUCAUCUCUGUCUUUUAUUUUAAUGCAAAAGAUGAGAUACCCAGUACUUACACUCCUCAUGUUUCCCACGCACACAUCUAUUGAUUUUUGUUGCAUUUUUGAACAAAAACACAAAGAAUAAUGAUCAAUUAGGCUAAUGGAGGGACGCUGAUCAAAUGACCUUUUCCUUCAUCUUUGCAAAAAAAAAAAAAAUCCCAGGAUGACAGAGACUUCUAGGAGGAAACACCACACCACAGCAGCGCUGGCCUCCUUUCAUCAUCCUGUCCCUGAACAACAUGGAAAUCAUCAAACUUUCUUUUUAAACACAGACUGAUUUGAGGAAAAGGUCGACGAGGAUUCCUCUAUAAUUUGCUGAUAAUUUACAGAAACCUGGGCCUCAUUAUUCUGACUCCAGACUCCAGUUAACAAUCCUCCAAAAAUAACAUAGCGCACGGGACAGAUGGAGCGUGACUGUCGUCAUCACAGUUUCAAACGGAUGGAGCAGCUCGGCCGCAGCCUGCAGAUCAAACCCCUGAUGGUGGCGCCGUUAGACCGCGUCUGCUGCAAAUAUCCCCCAAACACAGAACGACCACGUCCCCACAGGAGGACGUGCACGUGAUGACGAUCAACAACUCAAUCCUUAACUACAACAGUCUGGAAGUUUAACUCACACCUGUUCAAAGAACCAGUGAACAAGUGUGAAGUCAUAAAAUGUUAGAGGCGUCAUUUUAGAUUAAAGAUCCAAAUACUGGUGCCAU
This is a long non-coding RNA of Cynoglossus semilaevis (tongue sole), 7630 nucleotides long. RefSeq lists it as uncharacterized. NCBI's taxonomy places the organism in Eukaryota, Metazoa, Chordata, Actinopteri, Pleuronectiformes, Cynoglossidae. The record is from RefSeq and is a predicted model, not a curated record. The transcript has 6 exons.